AGCCGAAACGCCCGCGAGGGCGUCCGCCAGGGCUGGCCGCCUGGCGCUGAUGAUGGCAGGCCAAC
Molecule: non-coding RNA, 65 nt
Filed under: Gemmiger sp.
Lineage: Bacteria; Bacillati; Bacillota; Clostridia; Eubacteriales; Oscillospiraceae
Also listed under: 1 other name
Source: RNAcentral